This is a long non-coding RNA of Rhincodon typus (whale shark), 1513 nucleotides long. RefSeq lists it as uncharacterized. The transcript is spliced from 2 exons. NCBI's taxonomy places the organism in Eukaryota, Metazoa, Chordata, Chondrichthyes, Orectolobiformes, Rhincodontidae. The record is from RefSeq and is a predicted model, not a curated record.
UUCACCCUGCAUUUACACGUGCUGUAAUUAGCGGCCGCUCAAAAACGUCAGGACCCAUUAUUAACGAUCAUUCUCGCCACAUUCGGAGCACGGUUAUAAUUCUGGGACUUUGGGGCCCCUCAACGUUAGUGAAUUGCUAAGAUCAUAACAGCGUAAAGAUAAAACGCUGUUCCGAGACAGAAGAAAACUCGACGAAAGUGAUUUGCAUUUCAAAGUAACACUAAUCUACAUUGACGCCUGUUUGUUACCUGGACAUGGAAUACUAACUAUGGCGAAUGUGGGCCAUGAAGGUUUGGGACUAGCUGGUCUUUUCAUGUUAGUCACAUUGAAAUGCCCUUAUAUAUUGAUCACAUGAGUUUAAAACGAAACUUGCUUCGACGGGCGAAAAUGUGACUCCACUUUCACCUGAUCGGUACUACUCCUGAGCACCAUCUGAAGCUGCAGCAUUUGGACAAUACAAAAAUAGAAGCGUUUUCUCUGAGCUGAGACUCAGCACGUAGACUGAUCAAAUUAAUUCAACUAGAAGUCGGACUGUAGCAAUUGUUGAUAUUGCACUGUUUUCAGGCCAAUCUCUUCCGAAUGGAGACAAUUCCAGCAGUUAUUAAAGAGAAAUAAAUAAUCCUCAAUCAUCUGUUGAAAGCGGACGUUGAAUCAGGAAGAAUGUUCUAUUUUAAUUGGCCGACAUAGUUAGUUGAAAAUGGCGACCAUCUGCAGCUUGUUGCACAUAAACAAAGAAAAUUAAGUAUAUGUCCAUAUGCAGCCAAUUAUUAAAUAUAAUUUGCAGAGUGUCAAAGUAAUGACCUGAUGUCUGGCUGAAAUUAUUGCACUGACAUUCUUAACUACCAUGAAGUUUAAAUUAUAAUUUCAUUUCGUUUAUAGUGCAACUCUGUAAAUGUCUUUUUUCUUAUGACUUGGUGGCAAAGUGCAUUAAAACAUUACUGUUUCACGUCUGUGAGCUGGUUUGUAAUUCAAUCCAGACAGAAAUUAGAUUUGUUCUUUUUUCCUGUGGAAUCUAGUGCAUAGCUGAUUGGGAUACAAGUCUUUCAUUUCAGGAGCUUACAUUCAGUACAGACCCAAAAUUGAGAAUCUUUCACCCCUUUGCUUAAAGGGCUUGGCAGUGUACUGUAUUAGAGCACUGUCCUCUGGGCACAUUUCAAAUAGCAGAUGAAAAAGAAAAAGGUUUUUUUUCCACAAUGAAGGUAAUGAUGAUACCAUUAUUUUGUAACUAGAGCCACCCUGACUUCAGAACUGCGGAUAGAGUCCAGAAUAAACUGAAGAGAGAAUGAAUGUUUUCUUUCUCUGAAGGAAAAAUAAAACAUUACAUCUGAAGAGUUUUAUCACAGAUCUGUGAAAUGAGUUUGCUAAGGCUCAAUCCAGUUCCAAGUUGGCCUGUGUCCAGAGUAAUACUCACAUUUGGAAUUUGUAAGCAUUUAUGAAAAUAAAGACAGAACAUUAUAUAGAUAUAUCUGCUACACAUUUUUUGUUUAUGUAAGCAAACUUUGUUUUUGAGUUA